Phyllostomus hastatus (greater spear-nosed bat) is the source of this 302-nucleotide long non-coding RNA. RefSeq lists it as uncharacterized. The transcript has 3 exons. The record is from RefSeq and is a predicted model, not a curated record. NCBI's taxonomy places the organism in Eukaryota, Metazoa, Chordata, Mammalia, Chiroptera, Phyllostomidae.
CAGGGCCACCAGCAGACUUACCAUGGGGAGGGAGAGGCCUAGGAUCCCAAGGACCAACGUUCCUGUGGGAAAUUGAACCCAGCACCUUGGACCUGGAGCCUCCUGUGUAUGCACAGCCAGUGGUCAUGGAGUCUUUGAGUGACAAGAUCCUGAAACUUUGAGGUGGAACCUAGCACCUUCCUGCAAGAACAGCAGUUGGUACCCUUGCACUCUGUGAGCUGUGGCCAGCUGGUUCUCACCUGUUUUGCUUCAGCCAGUGUUUUCUUGCUCCCUUCUUUUGCUUAUUUUCACAUUAAAGUCUC